RNAcentral lists this ribosomal RNA (335 nucleotides) under uncultured bacterium. RNAcentral's name for it is "bacterial SSU rRNA". It matches the Rfam family "Bacterial small subunit ribosomal RNA", at positions 1 to 334 of the family's 1533-position model. The record is from RNAcentral.
GUACUACUCUCAGAGUUUGAUCCUGGCUCAGGACGAACGCUGGCGGCGUGCCUAACACAUGCAAGUCGAACGGGGUGUUCCUUCGGGGACACUUAGUGGCGAACGGGUGAGUAACGCGUGAGAAACCUGCCUUUCAGUGGGGGACAACAGUUGGAAACGACUGCUAAUACCGCAUAAUGUUAUUUGGGGGCAUCCUUGAAUAACCAAAGCUUUAUGUGCUGAAAGAUGGUCUCGCGUCUGAUUAGCUAGUUGGUGAGGUAACGGCUCACCAAGGCGACGAUCAGUAGCCGGUCUGAGAGGAUGAACGGCCACAUUGGGACUGAGAUACGGCCCAG